GCUCCUCGUAGUGUCAGUGGUCAUCACGUGCGCUUUACACGCGCAAGGUCCCUGGUUCGAUCCCAGGCGAGAGCA
This 75-nucleotide transfer RNA is filed under the name Rhipicephalus sanguineus (brown dog tick). RNAcentral describes it as "transfer RNA valine (anticodon UAC)". It matches the Rfam family "tRNA". From Rfam's summary of the family: Transfer RNA (tRNA) molecules are approximately 80 nucleotides in length. Their secondary structure includes four short double-helical elements and three loops (D, anti-codon, and T loops). Lineage: Eukaryota; Metazoa; Arthropoda; Arachnida; Ixodida; Ixodidae. The record is from RNAcentral.